GACGAACGCUGGCGGCGUGCCUAAUACAUGCAAGUAGAACGCUGAAGAGAGGAGCUUGCUCUUCUUGGAUGAGUUGCGAACGGGUGAGUAACGCGUAGGUAACCUGCCUUGUAGCGGGGGAUAACUAUUGGAAACGAUAGCUAAUACCGCAUAACAAUGGAUGACACAUGUCAUUUAUUUGAAAGGGGCAAUUGCUCCACUACAAGAUGGACCUGCGUUGUAUUAGCUAGUAGGUGAGGUAAUGGCUCACCUAGGCGACGAUACAUAGCCGACCUGAGAGGGUGAUCGGCCACACUGGGACUGAGACACGGCCCAGACUCCUACGGGAGGCAGCAGUAGGGAAUCUUCGGCAAUGGGGGCAAUCCUGACCGAGCAACGCCGCGUGAGUGAAGAAGGUUUUCGGAUCGUAAAGCUCUGUUGUAAGUCAAGAACGGGUGUGAGAGUGGAAAGUUCACACUGUGACGGUAGCUUACCAGAAAGAGACGGCUAACUACGUG
This 497-nucleotide ribosomal RNA is filed under the name uncultured bacterium. RNAcentral's name for it is "partial 16S ribosomal RNA". It matches the Rfam family "Bacterial small subunit ribosomal RNA", at positions 28 to 507 of the family's 1533-position model. The record is from RNAcentral.